Molecule: ribosomal RNA, 445 nt
Filed under: uncultured bacterium
Lineage: Bacteria
Description: bacterial SSU rRNA
Rfam family: Bacterial small subunit ribosomal RNA
Source: RNAcentral
CUACGGGAGGCAGCAGUGGGGAAUUUUGCACAAUGGGCGCAAGCCUGAUGCAGCAACGCCGCGUGAGGGAUGACGGCCUUCGGGUUGUAAACCUCUUUCACCCAUGACGAAGCGUGAGUGACGGUAGUGGGAGAAGAAGCACCGGCCAACUACGUGCCAGCAGCCGCGGUAAUACGUAGGGUGCGAGCGUUGUCCGGAAUUAUUGGGCGUAAAGGGCUCGUAGGCGGUUUGUCGCGUCGGGAGUGAAAACACACAGCUUAACUGUGUGCUUGCUUUCGAUACGGGCAGACUUGAGGCAUGCAGGGGAGAACGGAAUCUCUGGUGUAGCGGUGAAAUGCGCAGAUAUCAGAAGGAACACCGGUGGCGAAGGCGGUUCUCUGGGCAUGUUCUGACGCUGAGGAGCGAAAGUGUGGGGAGCGAACAGGAUUAGAAACCCCAGUAGUCC